UACGUAGGGGGCUAGCGUUGUCCGGAAUCAUUGGGCGUAAAGAGCGUGUAGGCGGCCCGGUAAGUCCGCUGUAAAAGUCAAAGGCUCAACCUUUGAAUGUCAGUGGAUACUGCCGGGCUAGAGUCCGGAAGAGGCGAGUGGAACUCCUGGUGUAGCGGUGAAAUGCGCAGAUAUCAGGAAGAACACCAACGGCGAAGGCAGCUCGCUAGGACGGUACUGACGCUGAGACGCGAAAGCGUGGGUAGCAAACAGG
This 253-nucleotide ribosomal RNA is filed under the name uncultured bacterium. RNAcentral's name for it is "partial 16S ribosomal RNA". It matches the Rfam family "Bacterial small subunit ribosomal RNA", at positions 524 to 776 of the family's 1533-position model. The record is from RNAcentral.